UGCCCAUCCGAUCUUCAGUUACAACUUUUAAAGAUGAAAUUAAAUCACCAGUUCAUCCGAUACUCAAGCCAAUCACAUCCCCGUCGGAGUUCGUGCGCCGCGUCGGACUUCGAUCUCCAAUCACGGAGAUCUCUUCAACCCUCUUCAAAGCUAUCCACGUACAGAGAGCACAUCAUAUAUGGGGUGAUUUUGUGCAAUCAUUUGAUUUUAUGACAUAUUCCUGGAUCAUUUGAUUUUAGAAAUGCACUCGGGGCACAAUUGAAUAAUCCUAUAUGGGGUGAUUUUGUGCAAUCAUUAUUAGCUGAAGGUUUUCAUAAGCCAAGAACAGGAUGAGAUGCUGGUGAUCAUCCUCCCAUUACUCCCAUGCGAUCAGCAACGGAGGAUAUGGUAGGAAAUGAUGCUUGGAGGCUGUACCAGUAUAUAUGUCAGCAUUUUAUUGGCUCUGUUAGUCCUGACUGCAAAUACAGAAGGACUAAUGUAGAAUUUUACUGUUGGUGAUGAAGUGUUCCGCUGUGUGGGUCAGCUGUCAUAGCUAAAGGGUUUACAUCUAUCAUGCCAUGGUUGGCUGUUAGUGAAAAAAAUCUUCCUCGGUUUACAAAGGGAGAGAGAAUAAACAUUGCGAAAGUUGAGCUAUAUGAGCCCGUAGAAAUGUACGCGAUGCAACACGAGGGAAAGGGGAUAGAGAGAUUGGUGACACAAUUGGGUCAUGCAAUUUCAGUUCCGAUCCCUUCCUCGAGUGGAGCACCGGAGGGGGAGCAUGCGACAUCCCUCGCGAAUGAGAUUGGGAAGGAGAUCCGAUCAUCUGCACUGGUUCGUAAUUGUGGUUGGGACAAUAUUGAUGCUGGGAGUCGAGAGGCGAUCAUUAUGAGAGUUCGGUUAUGACAACGGCAAUUCGUAAUGGAGAUUGGAGUCUGUGAUUGGUGAUUGGAUGAUGUUUCUACCUGUGUAAUGUCUUUGUGGAUGCCUGAGCGUCCUGCUUGUGGGAAGAAGUGAUAGGACAGGAGAUGGUUGAAGCAGAGUACUCGAUGACAAUUAACAUGCAUCAACCUGAGUAAAUGUGGACAAAGUGUCAAGGUUAACUGUGAAUCGAGUACAGCAUGGAUGUGGGACAGUAGAAGCAUAUGUAAGAGUGGAACUUGGAUUUGAGUAUCUUGAAAGCAGAGAGCAACUUGUCAUGACGUUACAAGCAAACUGGAAUAUUUAAACAGUUGUUCCAUUCUUUCUUUUCUUUCACCUUUUCCUCUCGACAAAUUGUGUUUUUUUUUUCCUUUGUGGAUUACAAGCAAACUGGAAUAUUUAAACAGACC
Molecule: RNA transcript, 1307 nt
Organism: Asparagus officinalis (garden asparagus)
Lineage: Eukaryota; Viridiplantae; Streptophyta; Magnoliopsida; Asparagales; Asparagaceae
Exons: 6
Source: RefSeq, a predicted model, not a curated record